UACAGGAGCUACUGCCACGUUCC
This 23-nucleotide microRNA is filed under the name Oreochromis niloticus (Nile tilapia). Its description in RNAcentral is "oni-miR-10714". The record is from miRBase by way of RNAcentral. Lineage: Eukaryota; Metazoa; Chordata; Actinopteri; Cichliformes; Cichlidae.